Molecule: non-coding RNA, 222 nt
Filed under: Bacillus sp. (in: firmicutes)
Lineage: Bacteria; Bacillati; Bacillota; Bacilli; Caryophanales; Bacillaceae
Description: Bacillus sp. T-box sequence
Rfam family: T-box leader
About the family: Uncharged tRNA acts as the effector for transcription antitermination of genes in the T-box leader family. T-boxes are found upstream of many aminoacyl-tRNA synthetase genes and some amino acid biosynthetic genes usually in Gram-positive bacteria. The anticodon of a specific tRNA base pairs to a specifier sequence within the T-box motif, and the NCCA acceptor tail of the tRNA base pairs to a conserved bulge in the T-box antiterminator hairpin.
Source: RNAcentral
GAAUAAGCAUUGAGAGGAAAAAGUAGUCUUUCUAUCCCUGUUAUUGUAGAGAGUCGAUGGUUGGUGAGAAUCGAUACAAAUAGCUUAGAUGAAUUACUUCCUGGAGCUUUUACUGUGAAAAAUGUAAGUAGCAGUAAACGGAUUAAACCGUUAUAGAACAAGAGUGGAGAAAUUAUAUUUUUCUCAAGUUGGGUGGUACCACGGUAAAUAAUCGUCCCUUCG